GAUGAAGAACGCAGCGAAAUGCGAUAAGUAAUGUGAAUUGCAGAAUUCAGUGAAUCAUCGAAUCUUUGAACGCACAUUGCGCCCCUUGGUAUUCCGGGGGGCAUGCCUGUUCGAGCGUCAUUUCAACCCUCAAGCUCUGCUUGGUAUUGGGCUCCGUCCUCAGGGACGCGCCUCAAAGACCUCGGCGGUGGCGUCUUGCCUCAAGCGUAGUAGAAAACACCUCGCUUUGGAGUGCUGGGCGUCGCCCGCCGGACGAACCUUUGAAUUUUUCUCAAGGUUGACCUAGGAUCAGGUAGGGAUACCCGCUGAACUUAAGCAUAUCAAUAAGCGGAGGA
Molecule: unclassified non-coding RNA, 335 nt
Filed under: soil metagenome
Description: partial contains 5.8S ribosomal RNA, internal transcribed spacer 2, and large subunit ribosomal RNA
Rfam family: 5.8S ribosomal RNA (bases 1-120)
Source: RNAcentral